AGGCUGUACCCACGCCACGCAAGUGCACUGAACAACCUCGGGACACUGACAAAGGACACGGCAGAGGCAAAGCUGUACUACCAGAGGGCGCUGCAACUCCAUCCUCAGCACAACCGUGCGCUUUUCAACCUGGGGAAUCUCCUGAAUUGGCUCCUUCAGAAUGAAGACCUUCUAAGGAUUGUGAAGACAUGGAAACUAAUUAUUAUAAUAAAUUUAAAUGUUUGGUGCAUA
Non-coding RNA from Cricetulus griseus (Chinese hamster), 231 nucleotides. The record is from RefSeq and is a predicted model, not a curated record. Lineage: Eukaryota; Metazoa; Chordata; Mammalia; Rodentia; Cricetidae.